CGAAGGAUGCAAGCGUUAUCCGGAUUCAUUGGGUUUAAAGGGAGCGUAGGCGGCCCUGUAAGUCAGUGGUGAAAUCUCUCGGCUUAACCGAGAAAUUGCCAUUGAUACUGCAGGGCUUGAGUACAGUUGCCGUUGGCGGAAUAUGACAUGUAGUGGUGAAAUACAUAGAGAUGUCAUAGAACACCGAUUGCGAAGGCAGCUAACGAAACUGUAACUGACGCUGAGGCUCGAAAGUGCGGGGAUCAAACAGGAUUAGAUACCCUGGUAGUCCGCACUGUAAACGAUGAUUACUCGCUGCUAGAGGGCAACUUUUAGUGGCUUAGCGAAAGCGAUAAGUAAUCCACCUGGGGAGUACGCCGGCAACGGUG
RNAcentral lists this ribosomal RNA (368 nucleotides) under uncultured organism. RNAcentral's name for it is "bacterial SSU rRNA". It matches the Rfam family "Bacterial small subunit ribosomal RNA", at positions 526 to 896 of the family's 1533-position model. The record is from RNAcentral.